RNAcentral lists this ribosomal RNA (1957 nucleotides) under metagenome. RNAcentral's name for it is "bacterial LSU rRNA". It matches the Rfam family "Bacterial large subunit ribosomal RNA", at positions 3 to 1980 of the family's 2925-position model. The record is from RNAcentral.
UCAAGCUACAAAGGGCGCAUGGUGAAUGCCUUGGCAUCAGGAGCCGAUGAAGGACGUGAUAAGCUGCGAUAAGCUUCGGGUAGGCGCACAUAGCCUGAGAUCCGAAGAUCUCCGAAUGAGGAAACUCACAUGGGAAACCCCAUGUAUCAUUAAGUGAAUACAUAGCUUAAUGAAGGUAACCCAGGGAACUGAAACAUCUAAGUACCUGGAGGAAGAGAAAGAAAAAUCGAUUUUCUUAGUAGCGGCGAGCGAAAGGGAAAGAGCCCAAACCGGAAACUUGUUUCCGGGGUUGUGGACAUAGCAUCAAAGUGGAGGCUAUUGUAACUGAAGAGAACUGGAAAGUUCCACCGUAGAAGGUAAUAGUCCUGUAAGUGAAACGAGAAGACCACGAGUUAUGAUCCAGAGUACCACGAGACACGUGAAACCUUGUGGGAAGCAGGGAGGACCACCUCCCAAGGCUAAAUACUACCUGAUGACCGAUAGUGAAGCAGUACCGUGAGGGAAAGGUGAAAAGAACCCCGGGAGGGGAGUGAAAUAGAACCUGAAACCGUGUGCCUACAACCGCUCAGAGCCCCUUAUGAGGGUGAUGAGGUGCUUUUUGUAGAACGAGCCAACGAGUUACGGUAUGUAGCAAGGUUAAGUACUUAAGGUACGGAGCCGAAGGGAAACCGAGUCUGAAUAGGGCGACUAGUUGCAUGCCGUAGACCCGAAACCGGGUGACCUAUCCAUGGCCAGGUUGAAGCGAGGGUAAAACCUCGUGGAGGACCGAACCACGUUGCUGUUGAAAAAGCAUGGGAUGAGCUGUGGAUAGCGGAGAAAUUCCAAUCGAACCCGGAGAUAGCUGGUUCUCUCCGAAAUAGCUUUAGGGCUAGCGUCGAGUAUGAGUAGUGGAGGUAGAGCACUGAAUGGGCUAGGGGGCAUAGCGCUUACCGAACCUUAUCAAACUCCGAAUGCCACAUACUUUGAGCUCGGCAGUCAGACUACGAAUGAUAAGAUCCGUGGUCAAAAGGGAAACAGCCCAGAUCGUCAGCUAAGGUCCCAAAGUGUAAGUUAAGUGGGAAAGGAUGUGAGAUUUCUAAGACAACUAGGAUGUUGGCUUAGAAGCAGCCAUUCAUUAAAAGAGUGCGUAAUAGCUCACUAGUCGAGAGAUCUUGCGCCGAAAAUGUAACGGGGCUAAACUUACCACCGAAGCUACGGGCUUGAACUUAGUUCAAGCGGUAGGAGAGCGUCGUAACCGGGCUGAAGUCGUACCGUAAGGAGCGGUGGACUGGUUACGAGUGAGAAUGUUGGCAUCAGUAGCGAGAUGUGGGUGAGAAUCCCACAGGCCGAAAACCUAAGGUUUCCUCAGGAAGGUUCGUCCGCUGAGGGUUAGUCGGGACCUAAGCCGAGGCCGAAAGGCGUAGGUGAUGGACAACUGGUUGAUAUUCCAGUACCACUACCAUCGUUAUUAUCGAUGGCGUGACGCAGGAGGAUAGUGUGUGCUAGCUAUUGGAUGCUAGUCUAAGCGUUUAGGCAGUGAGAGUAGGCAAAUCCGCUCUCAUAAUGCUGAGGCGUGAUGGGGAAGGUUCUACGGAACCGAAGUACAUGAUUCCACGCUGCCAAGAAAAGCGUCUAGAGAGAGAAGUAGUGCCCGUACCGCAAACCGACACAGGUAGGUGAGGAGAGAAUCCUAAGGCCGGCGGAAGAAUUACAGUUAAGGAACUCGGCAAAUUGACCCCGUAAGUUCGCGAGAAGGGGUGCCUACGAGAGUAGGCCGCAGAGAAUAGGCCCAAGCAACUGUUUAGCAAAAACACAGGUCUCUGCUAAAGCGUAAGCUGAUGUAUAGGGGCUGACGCCUGCCCGGUGCUGGAAGGUUAAGGGGAACACUUAGCGCAAGCGAAGGUGUGAACUUAAGCCCCAGUAAACGGCGGCCGUAACUAUAACGGUCCUAAGGUAGCGAAAUUCCUUGUCAGGUAAG